This 1059-nucleotide long non-coding RNA is filed under the name Ursus americanus (American black bear). RNAcentral describes it as "lncRNA (ENSUAMG00000025110.1)". Lineage: Eukaryota; Metazoa; Chordata; Mammalia; Carnivora; Ursidae. The record is from RNAcentral.
AUGUCUCUCCCUGCCAGUGAAGGAGGUGCGGACAGCCUUGACGAAGGCACUGCUGGCUGGGGAGGCAUGGGCCUUGGCGAAGGAGGCGCGGACAGCCUUGACGAAGGCACUGCUGGCUGGGGAGGCAUGGGCCUUGGCGAAGGAGGCGCGGACAGCCUUGACGAAGGCACUGCUGGCUGGGGAGGCAUGGGCCUUGGCGAAGGAGGCGCGGACAGCCUUGACGAAGGCACUGCUGGCUGGGGAGGCAUGGGCCUUGGCGAAGGAGGCGCGGACAGCCUUGACGAAGGCACUGCUGGCUGGGGAGGCAUGGGCCUUGGCGAAGGAGGCGCGGACAGCCUUGACGAAGGCACUGCUGGCUGGGGAGGCAUGGGCCUUGGCGAAGGAGGCGCGGACAGCCUUGACGAAGGCACUGCUGGCUGGGGAGGCAUGGGCCUUGGCGAAGGAGGCGCGGACAGCCUUGACGAAGGCACUGCUGGCUGGGGAGGCAUGGGCCUUGGCGAAGGAGGCGCGGACAGCCUUGACGAAGGCACUGCUGGCUGGGGAGGCAUGGGCCUUGGCGAAGGAGGCGCGGACAGCCUUGACGAAGGCACUGCUGGCUGGGGAGGCAUGGGCCUUGGCGAAGGAGGCGCGGACAGCCUUGACGAAGGCACUGCUGGCUGGGGAGGCAUGGGCCUUGGCGAAGGAGGCGCGGACAGCCUUGACGAAGGCACUGCUGGCUGGGGAGGCAUGGGCCUUGGCGAAGGAGGCGCGGACAGCCUUGACGAAGGCACUGCUGGCUGGGGAGGCAUGGGCCUUGGCGAAGGAGGCGCGGACAGCCUUGACGAAGGCACUGCUGGCUGGGGAGGCAUGGGCCUUGGCGAAGGAGGCGCGGACAGCCUUGACGAAGGCACUGCUGGCUGGGGAGGCAUGGGCCUUGGCGAAGGAGGCGCGGACAGCCUUGACGAAGGCACUGCUGGCUGGGGAGGCAUGGCCUUGGCGAAGGAGGUGCGGACAGCCUUGACGAAGGCACUGCUGGCUGGGGAGGCAUGGCCUUGGCGAAGGAGGCGCGGACAGCCUUGA